Molecule: ribosomal RNA, 772 nt
Filed under: uncultured bacterium
Lineage: Bacteria
Description: bacterial SSU rRNA
Rfam family: Bacterial small subunit ribosomal RNA
Source: RNAcentral
UGGUUUGUCGCGUUGUUCGUGAAAUCUCACAACUCAAUUGUGAGCGUGCGGGCGAUACGGGCAGACUGGAGUACUGCAGGGGAGACUGGAAUUCCUGGUGUAGCGGUGGAAUGCGCAGAUAUCAGGAGGAACACCGGUGGCGAAGGCGGGUCUCUGGGCAGUAACUGACGCUGAGGAGCGAAAGCGUGGGGAGCGAACAGGAUUAGAUACCCUGGUAGUCCACGCCGUAAACGGUGGGUACUAGGUGUGGGUUUCCUUCCUUGGGAUCCGUGCCGUAGCUAACGCAUUAAGUACCCCGCCUGGGGAGUACGGCCGCAAGGCUAAAACUCAAAGAAAUUGACGGGGGCCCGCACAAGCGGCGGAGCAUGUGGAUUAAUUCGAUGCAACGCGAAGAACCUUACCUGGGUUUGACAUGCACAGGACGACGGCAGAGAUGUCGUUUCCCUUGUGGCCUGUGUGCAGGUGGUGCAUGGCUGUCGUCAGCUCGUGUCGUGAGAUGUUGGGUUAAGUCCCGCAACGAGCGCAACCCUUGUCUCAUGUUGCCAGCGGGUAAUGCCGGGGACUCGUGAGAGACUGCCGGGGUCGACUCGGAGGAAGGUGGGGAUGACGUCAAGUCAUCAUGCCCCUUAUGUCCAGGGCUUCACACAUGCUACAAUGGCCGGUACAAAGGGCUGCGAAGCCGCGAGGUGGAGCGAAUCCUUUAAAGCCGGUCUCAGUUCGGAUCGGGGUCUGCAGCUCGACCCCGUGAAGUUGGAGUCGCUAGUAAUCGCAG